ACAAUUAGCUGUUGGGACACUAGAUGUCUUAGUAGCGAAGCUAACGCGUGAAAUUGUCCGCCUGGGGAGUACGGUCGCAAGAUUAAAACUCAAAGGAAUUGACGGGGACCCGCACAAGCGGUGGACGAUGUGGAUUAAUUCGAUGCAACGCGAAGAACCUUACCUGGUCUUGACAUGUACGGAAUCUCUUAGAGAUAGGAGAGUACCUUCGGGAACCGUAACACAGGUGCUGCAUGGCUGUCGUCAGCUCGUGUCGUGAGAUGUUGGGUUAAGUCCCGCAACGAGCGCAACCCUUGUCAUUAGUUGCCAUCAUUAAGUUGGGCACUCUAAUGAGACUGCCGGUGAUAUACCGGAGGAAGGUGGGGAUGACGUCAAGUCCUCAUGGCCCUUAUGACCAGGGCUUCACACGUCAUACAAUGGUCGGUACAGAGGGUAGCGAAGCCGCGAGGUGAAGCCAAUCUCAGAAAGCCGAUCGUAGUCCGGAUUGCACUCUGCAACUCGAGUGCAUGAAGUCGGAAUCGCUAGUAAUCGCAGGUCAGCAUACUGCGGUGAAUACGUUCCCGGGUCU
Molecule: ribosomal RNA, 568 nt
Filed under: uncultured Neisseriaceae bacterium
Lineage: Bacteria; Pseudomonadati; Pseudomonadota; Betaproteobacteria; Neisseriales; Neisseriaceae
Description: bacterial SSU rRNA
Rfam family: Bacterial small subunit ribosomal RNA
Source: RNAcentral